Molecule: long non-coding RNA, 1786 nt
Organism: Equus caballus (horse)
Lineage: Eukaryota; Metazoa; Chordata; Mammalia; Perissodactyla; Equidae
Source: Ensembl
UUUAGAGUUCAAGUAUCUUAGUGAUUUCGUGCUUGUCUAAAUAGAAGUUCAAUCUUCUUUUUUUCUCUAAGUGUUGUCAAGACUGAAGAGUGACCUAACCAUGUGCUCCCUCUUUUGAGUCCUUUCCUCAAACUUCCCAGGCCCUGUUGUCCCAUGGAGUCCUGGGGCUGUUUGGGUUUCGAUAGAGUCGAGAGAAGCUGUGAAUGAGGGAACUCCCAGGCUCCUUUCCUCCACUUCACGGCCAGGAUACCAGCCAGUUCAGAAGUUCUCAAUCAGUGCUCUCUCCAGCAAAAGCAGAAAUACUGGCAGAUAACAGCAUUGAGGAAUUAAGUGAAUGCAGAACUAAGACAAUCAUUCAGAAGAGCCACCCCACGGCCUUCCUCAGAAGCCUUCGGGAAACAUCAUGCAGUGUUCUCCUUUAAACUGAGUGUUUAUCUUCGUUCUUUAUGUUACUGAUAUUCAACUGUCCUAUGGCCAUUCUUAGCAAUAUAGAUGUUCCUGUAGGUCAAAGAAUGGAAAGCAACUUCAGAGAAAGGCAAAAAUGGAAGGAGAAUGCAGGCCAGAAGUUAGCCUAUUUAUACGUGAAAACAACAGCUAAUCCCCUGGGCAUGGAGUGGGGAGCUUAAAUCAUACCACUUUAGCAAGACCCCCCAUGCUUCCCUGCCUUGGUGACUGAUGUCUUUCCUAGGAUGCUUUUGAAUCAGAUUUGAGCCAAUAUCUACAAAGCUCCUGAUGCUACAUACGUUGAAGGCAGAAGAGUGGUUUGAUAACGGACUGUCCAAUAGUCACCACCAGAUGAUUCCUACGAUCUCCUGUGACCUUCAAAGUGGGCCCAUAUACCCUGCGGGAAGUAUAAGGAACUCCACUGGGAUGCUGGAAGGAAAUAAUAGAACUUCUGUUUAUACUUUAUUUUUCAUCUCAUCCUUUUGUAAUUUCUAUUUUUGUGUAUGCUUUACGAUAUAAAUACCAUAUAGGAGCUUAUGUCUAUAAUUUAUAAGUGAAUAAAUGCACAUUGGGGUGCAUGCUCAAAUGUUUGAUUGAUGGAGCAUACAAUCAAGCUUGGUGACACCAUUCUGAUCAGCAAGGGUAGAAAUACUUCAAUAGAGCAAGCUAGAUGAAACCCUGGGGAGGCCAGAACAAGAGCAGCAGACCACUUUGCCUUCCCUGCCUUGGUGUAGAAUGGUGUAGUGGGAAAAUGUUGCCGACCCUUUCUUAGGGUCUGGUGUUCUCUUCAGUGUGGAGUUACAGGAAGUCCCUCUUUUGGGGCUCUGCCAUCAAGUCUCAUGACAUGUCAAAUUAAAGGACUUCCUGGUGCUUCACUCAAAUGUCUACCUGGAGUCAUUGCCCUCAACUCUAACUUGUGGAGAUGUAUCUGCCCUGCUGUUUCUGCUGCUUGGAAACUGCUAGAACAUGCUGCCUGGCCACCUUCGAACUCCAUCCCCACUGCUGGGCACUGAUGCAGAGGCAUCCUUCCCCAGGCCUUGUUGACGUCUUGUUUCAAAGAGGCACAGAACAAUGUCUCCUCAAAGCCAACGGGCUCUGGUGUCCUCCUGUCCCAUGGGGCCUGAACCCCUGCAAGUGCCCCUGCAGCUUGGUGGGAGUGAGACAGCAGAGUGCCCCAGGCUGGGCUGGCCACACAGCUGAGGCCCACAAGCCUACCAGCUGCCGCAUGGCAGAGGAAGAUUAGCCCUGAGCUAACAUCUGCCACCAAUCCUCUUCUUUUUUGCUGAGGAAGGCCAGCCCUGAGCUAACAUGCACGCCCAUCUUCCUCUACUUUAUAUGUGGG